CUGUCUUCUUCUUGUUAGGCCUACAUCGUACUCUAUUGUAUGAGUCUCUAAUAAGUGUCCUACAUUUGUUUCCAAUCUUUUCUUUAUUCGCGCAUUUUAGACCAACUUUUAUAACAAAGAUGGAAACAAACAGGAAGAGAGUUUUCUGCUUAACUCUCAUCUAGAAAAUCCAGUGAACAGAAGCUCCAAUCCCUUCUGAGUCUCCUGGUAGCUUGAAUCAACAUAAUUCAAAUUCUGAGCUCUCAAGCAACACUGAACCGGACACGCAAACCGUGGAGGGGACUCCAUCCUUUCUGCAGGGCCGAGGAAAAAAUCUUGCCAGCAGAGGUCACUGACGCUCCAGUUUGCGAUUUAGCAGCAGCCCAGGCAGGAGGCCAAUCCCGGUUUUCCGUGUGCCAACAAACUCCCUUUGUGCCGAUUAGAACUACACUCCCGUGCCCCCUGGGGUGGAAGAGAUGAGACUCAAGGUAACUGAGACAUCUAGUGUCCAGUCCUAAGAAAAACAAAUUUCCACCAAUUCUGGUUU
RNAcentral lists this long non-coding RNA (526 nucleotides) under Lynx canadensis (Canada lynx). RNAcentral describes it as "lncRNA (ENSLCNG00005016132.1)". Lineage: Eukaryota; Metazoa; Chordata; Mammalia; Carnivora; Felidae. The record is from RNAcentral.